ACGGAAGGCAGCAGUGGGGAAUAUUGGACAAUGGGGGAAACCCUGAUCCAGCGACGCCGCGUGAGUGAAGAAGUAUUUCGGUAUGUAAAGCUCUAUCAGCAAGGAAGAAAAUGACGGUACUUGACUAAGAAGCUCCGGCUAAAUACGUGCCAGCAGCCGCGGUAAUACGUACGGAGCAAGCGUUAUCCGGAUUUACUGGGUGUAAAGGGAGCGUAGACGGCAAAGCAAGUCUGAAGUGAAAUGCCGGGGCUUAACCCCGGAACUGCUUUGGAAACUGUUUAGCUAGAGUGCAGGAGAGGUAAGCGGAAUUCCUAGUGUAGCGGUGAAAUGCGUAGAUAUUAGGAGGAACACCAGUGGCGAAGGCGGCUUACUGGACUGUAACUGACGUUGAGGCUCGAAAGCGUGGGGAGCAAACAGGAUUAGAUACCCUGGUA
Molecule: ribosomal RNA, 434 nt
Filed under: uncultured Lachnospiraceae bacterium
Lineage: Bacteria; Bacillati; Bacillota; Clostridia; Lachnospirales; Lachnospiraceae
Description: bacterial SSU rRNA
Rfam family: Bacterial small subunit ribosomal RNA
Source: RNAcentral